Molecule: ribosomal RNA, 253 nt
Filed under: uncultured bacterium
Lineage: Bacteria
Description: partial 16S ribosomal RNA
Rfam family: Bacterial small subunit ribosomal RNA
Source: RNAcentral
GACGUAGGGCGCGAGCGUUGUCCGGAUUUAUUGGGCGUAAAGAGCUCGUAGGCGGUUUGUUGCGUCGGCUGUGAAAUCCCGAGGCUCAACCCCGGGUCUGCAUUCGAUACGGGCAGGCUAGAGUUCGGUAGGGGAGAUCGGAAUUCCUGGUGUAGCGGUGAAAUGCGCAGAUAUCAGGAGGAACACCGGUGGCGAAGGCGGAUCUCUGGGCCGAUACUGACGCUGAGGAGCGAAAGCGUGGGGAGCGAACAGG